AGAGUUUGAUCCUGGCUCAGGAUGAACGCUAGCUACAGGCUUAACACAUGCAAGUCGAGGGGCAGCAUGGUCUUAGCUUGCUAAGGCCGAUGGCGACCGGCGCACGGGUGAGUAACACGUAUCCAACCUGCCGUCUACUCUUGGACAGCCUUCUGAAAGGAAGAUUAAUACAAGAUGGCAUCAUGAGUCCGCAUGUUCACAUGAUUAAAGGUAUUCCGGUAGACGAUGGGGAUGCGUUCCAUUAGAUAGUAGGCGGGGUAACGGCCCACCUAGUCUUCGAUGGAUAGGGGUUCUGAGAGGAAGGUCCCCCACAUUGGAACUGAGACACGGUCCAAACUCCUACGGGAGGCAGCAGUGAGGAAUAUUGGUCAAUGGGCGCAGGCCUGAACCAGCCAAGUAGCGUGAAGGAUGACUGCCCUAUGGGUUGUAAACUUCUUUUAUAAAGGAAUAAAGUCGGGUAUGCAUACCCGUUUGCAUGUACUUUAUGAAUAAGGAUCGGCUAACUCCGUGCCAGCAGCCGCGGUAAUACGGAGGAUCCGAGCGUUAUCCGGAUUUAUUGGGUUUAAAGGGAGCGUAGAUGGAUGUUUAAGUCAGUUGUGAAAGUUUGCGGCUCAACCGUAAAAUUGCAGUUGAUACUGGAUAUCUUGAGUGCAGUUGAGGCAGGCGGAAUUCGUGGUGUAGCGGUGAAAUGCUUAGAUAUCACGAAGAACUCCGAUUGCGAAGGCAGCCUGCUAAGCUGCAACUGACAUUGAGGCUCGAAAGUGUGGGUAUCAAACAGGAUUAGAUACCCUGGUAGUCCACACGGUAAACGAUGAAUACUCGCUGUUUGCGAUAUACAGCAAGCGGCCAAGCGAAAGCGUUAAGUAUUCCACCUGGGGAGUACGCCGGCAACGGUGAAACUCAAAGGAAUUGACGGGGGCCCGCACAAGCGGAGGAACAUGUGGUUUAAUUCGAUGAUACGCGAGGAACCUUACCCGGGCUUAAAUUGCAGAUGAAUUACGGUGAAAGCCGUAAGCCGCAAGGCAUCUGUGAAGGUGCUGCAUGGUUGUCGUCAGCUCGUGCCGUGAGGUGUCGGCUUAAGUGCCAUAACGAGCGCAACCCUUGUUGUCAGUUACUAACAGGUUCCGCUGAGGACUCUGACAAGACUGCCAUCGUAAGAUGUGAGGAAGGUGGGGAUGACGUCAAAUCAGCACGGCCCUUACGUCCGGGGCUACACACGUGUUACAAUGGGGGGUACAGAGGGCCGCUACCACGCGAGUGGAUGCCAAUCCCCAAAACCUCUCUCAGUUCGGACUGGAGUCUGCAACCCGACUCCACGAAGCUGGAUUCGCUAGUAAUCGCGCAUCAGCCACGGCGCGGUGAAUACGUUCCCGGGCCUUGCACACACCGCCCGUCA
This 1396-nucleotide ribosomal RNA is filed under the name uncultured bacterium. RNAcentral's name for it is "16S ribosomal RNA". It matches the Rfam family "Bacterial small subunit ribosomal RNA". The record is from RNAcentral.